AGUAGCUGGGUGCUGGUGUGCCCCCUGGUCUUCAAAACCAGUGUGGGCGGCGAGCGGCCGCCCGGGUGGGUUCGAUUCCCACAUACCCC
RNAcentral lists this transfer RNA (89 nucleotides) under uncultured Dysosmobacter sp. RNAcentral describes it as "Selenocysteine transfer RNA". It matches the Rfam family "Selenocysteine transfer RNA". The record is from RNAcentral. Lineage: Bacteria; Bacillati; Bacillota; Clostridia; Eubacteriales; Oscillospiraceae.